AUUCUACUCCCUCUGUUGCACAAUACAUGCCUUCUAUUUGUCAAAAUAUAUAUGUAUCUAGACAUGUUUUAGUAUAUAGGUACAUCCAUUUUUGGACAAAUGGAAGUCAAGUAUUUUGGAACGGAGGGAGUACACA
Triticum aestivum (bread wheat) is the source of this 136-nucleotide non-coding RNA. The record is from Rfam. NCBI's taxonomy places the organism in Eukaryota, Viridiplantae, Streptophyta, Magnoliopsida, Poales, Poaceae.